This 310-nucleotide ribosomal RNA is filed under the name uncultured Pseudomonadota bacterium. Its description in RNAcentral is "bacterial SSU rRNA". It matches the Rfam family "Bacterial small subunit ribosomal RNA", at positions 29 to 351 of the family's 1533-position model. Lineage: Bacteria; Pseudomonadati; Pseudomonadota. The record is from RNAcentral.
AACGAACGCUGGCGGCAGGCUUAACACAUGCAAGUCGAGCGCCCUUUUCGGAGGGAGCGGCGGACGGGUGAGUAACGCGUGGGAACGUGCCCUUUUCUUCGGGAUAGCCCAGGGAAACUUGGAUUAAUACCGGAUACGCCCCCUCGUAGGGAUACGGGGUGGGGAAAGAUUUAUCGGGGAAGGAUCGGCCCGCGUUGGAUUAGGUAGUUGGUGGGGUAACGGCCUACCAAGCCGACGAUCCAUAGCUGGUUUGAGAGGAUGAUCAGCCACACUGGGACUGAGACACGGCCCAGACUCCUACGGGUGGCAG